AUGGAAGAAACAUUGGAGAUAACUGAAGAUCAUGGUCAAGCUUUGCAAAAGAAAUCACAGGACAUAGUAAAUGCCAUGCGUCUAGUGUUCACAACAAAGGUUCGUCUUGAUGAAAUGAGAUCAGAUGAUGGUUGGGAGGCCUUCUUUGAUAGGGUUGUUGAGUUCUGUGUAAAUCAUUCCAUUGAUAUUCCAGAUUUGGGAGAAACUUACAUUCUGCGUGGUGGUCGUGCUCGUUGCCAACCAGAUCAUUUUACUAAGGAGCACUAUUUCCGGGUGGAAGUAUUUCGUGCAACACUUGAUACUCAUCUACAUGAAUUAGAAUUCAGGUUCAAUGAUAAGGUACUGGAUCUAUUGACCACUAGUGCUACCCUGAUCCCUAAAAAUAAAUUCAGAUCUUUCAAAGCUGAUGAUAUUUGUGAGUUAGUCAAGAAAUAUUAUCCAGCAGAUUUCACCCAACAAGAAAUCUAUGGACUGGAGCAGCAACUAAAACACUUUGUUGUGGAUGCCUCCAACUCCAAUGAUAAAGAGUUGAAAAAUGUGUCAACCUUAACAAAUCUUUGUCGAUAUCUCUUUGAGACGGGGAGACAUUCUAUCUACAAUUUGCUUGAUCGAUUGUUGCGAUUGCUUCUAACUCUUCCAGUUUCUACAGCAAGUGCCGAGCGAGCAUUUUCAACUUUGAAGAUCAUUAAGACAAGGCUACGUAAUACCAUGGAAGAUGAUUAUCUAGCCAAUAGCUUGCUAAUAAAAAUAGAGAGUGAAAUCACGGAGAAGUACAGUUAUGAAGAUGUUCUUGUGCACUUUAAGGGUGCAAAGAAACGGAAAGCUAAUCUGUAGUGCAGUGUUGCUGUAGUGAACCGAAUGCUCCAUGGUUAA
This 873-nucleotide ribosomal RNA is filed under the name Triticum aestivum (bread wheat). RNAcentral's name for it is "partial small subunit ribosomal RNA". Lineage: Eukaryota; Viridiplantae; Streptophyta; Magnoliopsida; Poales; Poaceae. The record is from RNAcentral.